CUUUUAAAGAUGUUUUUAUUGAGGUAAAAUUCAUGUAACAUAAAAUUAAACAUUUUAAAGUGUACAAUUCCGUGUCAUUUAGUACAUUCACAAUGUGUGCAACUACUACUUACUCUACCUAGCUCCAAGACAUUUAAUUACCCCAAAAUAAAACUCAUUCCCAAUAAGCAGUUAAUUCCCAUUCUCCACUUCCCCCUACUCCCUGGCAACCAUCAAUCUGCUUUCUGUACCUAAGGAUUUAUCUAUUCUGGAUAUUUCACACGAAUGGAAUCUUAUAGUAUGUGACCUUCUAUGUCUAGCUUCUUUCACUCAACAUGUUUUUGGGGUUCAUUCACGCUGCAGUAUCAGUACUUCAUACCUUUUUAUGGUUGAGCAAUACUUCAUUGUAUGCAUAGACAUUUUGUUUAUCCACUCAUCCAUUGAUGGAUAUCUGGGUCAUUUCCACCUUUUGGUUCUUGUGAAUUGUGCUGCUACAGACAUUUGUGUACAUGUUUUUGUUUGAACACCUGCCUCUUUGGGGCAUAUACCUAAGACUGGGAUUUCUGUGUCAUGCAGUAACCAUGUAUAAGUUGCUGAGGAACCUCCACUCUGGUCCAUCAUUUUACAUUCCCAAUGGCAAUGUUCCAAUUUCUGUGUCUCCACAUUCCCCCAACGUUUUUUAAAAAAUUAUUAUGGCUAUUCUGGUGGGUAUAAGGUGGUUUCUCAUUGUGGUUUUGAUCUGCAUUUUCCUAAUGACUACUGACAUUGAGCGUCUUUUCAUGUGCCUAUUGGCCAUUUGUAUAUUUUUGUUAGAGAAAUGUCUAUUCAAGUCUUUUGUCCAUUUUUAAAAAUUGGAUUGUUUGUCUUUUUGUUGUUGAAUUGUGCAGGAAAUAUUUUUAAAUUUGAAAAAGAUAUCUAAACAUAAAAAUAUUCACCAUAGUAUUAUUUGCAAUAGGGAAAAGGUUGAAAGUGACAUUAAUGUCUAAUAAUAGGGAAUACAAAGACAAUCCCUGUUCUCAAGGGGCACUCUGUCCCAUCAGCAAGACACAAGAAAAACAAUAAAUUCAUUAAUUUCUAUAUUCAGGGUGUACACAGGAUGCUAAAGGAAUUCAGAAGAGGGGUGGAGAGGGUGUCAGGGAAGGAAGGUUUCCCCAGACAGGUGGAGAAAUGUGAGGGUAGGUGUGUGCAAGGCAGAAAGCCGGCACUCAUCCAUAGCUAUGAAAGAGAAUGAUACAAUUGGAGAACCACAAACAAUUUUUUGGGUUGUGGUAUAAGUUUCAGUGUAGUGAUGCAGGAAGGAGCUGGAACAAGAGAAUCUUUUGUGCUAAAUCUUUACCUGAAAACUCAAGGAGCUUCCAAAGGAGGUGAAUUCCAAACAUCAACCUUAUGGUUUGGAGAAAUCACUCUGACAGCCACAUGGAGGAUGGGCGAUGGGGCCAGACUAGGGGCCAGUCAGGAGGCAUACCAAGACAGGAUGAACUAAGCAGCUAUCAGGAGAGAAGAGGUAAGAAGGUUGGGGAACAAAUAUAAUUCCUAGAUCAUAGUUCCUGCCUGAUAUGGGUUGGAUUGUGUCCCCUCAAGACAGAUAAGGUUUUUUUAAAGAUUUUAUUUAUUUAUUCAUGAGAGACACAGAGAGAUAGAGAGAGAGGCAGAGACACAGGCAGAGGAAGAAGCAGGCUCCAUGCAGGGAGCCCAAUGCAGGACUUGAUCCCGGGUCUCCAGGAUCAUGCCCUGGGCUGAAGGCAGUGCUAAACCGCUGAGCCACCCGGGCUGCUGAAGACAGAUAUGUUGAAGUCCUAGCUCCCAGUACCACAGGAUGUGACCCUGUUCUGAAAUAGGGUCACUGCAGCUAUAAUUGUUAAAAUGAGGUCAUCCUACAGUAGGGUGGACCCCUAAUUCAAUAGGACUUAUGUCCUAAAAGAAGACAGCAUAUGAAGACAGAGACACGGAGGAAGAAGGCCAUGUGAUGAUAAGGCACAGACUAGGGAUGUGCAGCUCUAAGCCAAGGAAUGCCAAAGAUUUCCAGCAAACCACCAGAAGUUAGGAAUAGGCAAAGAGAGAUUCUCCCAACAGGUUUCAGAGAGAACGUAGACCUGAUGACAUAGGGUUGGAGGGGCAGAGGGAGAGAGAGAAUCUUAAGCAGACUCCCCACUGAGUGUAAGUCCAACUCUGGCCUUGAUAGGAUGACCCUGAGAUCACGACCUUAGUUGAAACCAAGAGUCAGAUGCUUAACCAAAUGAGCCAUCCAGGCUCCCUUCAGUCAGACUGAGUUAUAAGUGUUUCACCCAAAGCAACUCAUUCCAUCCUCUCAGUUCUCCGUGAGGAAGAUUCUACUAGCAUUCUUACUUUAUAUUUAGGGAAAUGGAAACACAGAAUGGUCAAGCAAACGUCCCAAGGUUUCAAAGCUUGGGAAAUGGCAGAGCCAAGAUUUGAUGCCUGGCAGGCUGACUGCAAGCUCUAGUGCUCUUGCCCAAUAUGCUAUACAGCCAUUCUGAUAAAUUUGCUGUACGUUUCGUGGGAUGGAUGAAUGAAUGAAUCAGUACAUCUGGACAUGGUACCAGCGAGAAAAAUGGGGCCAAUGAAGAAAAGAGAGGGA
This 2575-nucleotide long non-coding RNA is filed under the name Canis lupus familiaris (dog). Its description in RNAcentral is "lncRNA (ENSCAFG00845005111.1)". Lineage: Eukaryota; Metazoa; Chordata; Mammalia; Carnivora; Canidae. The record is from RNAcentral.